Molecule: long non-coding RNA, 29906 nt
Filed under: Gossypium barbadense (sea-island cotton)
Lineage: Eukaryota; Viridiplantae; Streptophyta; Magnoliopsida; Malvales; Malvaceae
Description: long non-coding RNA (GBAR_LNC006186)
Source: RNAcentral
UCAAAUAAUAUUAUUUGAAUAGUUAUAAUUCUUUGUCAAAAAUCAAGCCAAAUAACACUUUACCAAUAACCAAAAGAUAUAACUUUUGAUUAAUUACACACUUUCAUUUAUAGUUAUUGGAACACUAUAAAAAUUUGAAAAUGUUCCAACAUGAAUUAAGCUAGCACAAACAAAACAACUACGCCUCCGUAAUCUUCUCCUUCCUUUUGGCCUUAGACGAAUCAACCACUUCCUUUGCUACAAACCAUAAUCAAAAUAAUAAAAUAAUGUUAGAGAAAUAUAAUCAAACCUCAAAUCCUUCUAAAACUAUUAGUGAUAUGCAAAUUGAUAUAGUGAAAUAUUUUUUCACUUUUUUUGACAACUCAAGAGAACUCCAAUCUAACCCAUUUGAAAUCUAAAUCUAACCUCAAAAUGAAGUUUAAAAACUCCUAAACACUCAAAAUCGUUAGCAACACUAGCUCCUAAGCUCUCUCUUUCUUUAAAACUCUCUAAGGACUCAACCAAGGCAUCUUUAGAGAACUCUAUCAAAACUGUUAGUUUAGCAAAAACUUAAUUGAAAUAUAGAACUAAAGAUGAAAUGAAGGGAUGAUUUAAUUGAUUGACAAAACAACCCUUAUAUACAAGUCCCAAGUAACAACCUCAACAAGAAAUAAAUUCAAAUUGCUACUAACAAGCUAAAAACUCCUACUCCUACUAACAAGCUAACAAAUCCCCCUAAGACUUAGUCUUAUUUUUUAAAAAUUAGUUGCAGCCUUGAGACACUAACAUUCUCCUCCUAACUCAAGUGCUGCAGAGACCAAGUUUAUUCUAAAGAAACUCAAAAUGACUAACAUGAAAAAUCUAGUAAAAAUAUUCGUCAUCUGAUCUCUGAAAACCAGUUUCUUCAAUAUUCGCCUUCUAUAAAUUCCUCAUUGAUUAGUGUAGCUUCAAGAGUAGCCUCUAAUUGUUUCCUAGCAUGCAAUGCCAUCUAAAUCAAAAUUCCAUAAUUCAAAAUCAUCACAAGCUACUCCAGAAAAAUCAUGAGAGUGGCCAGAGUGCUUUCCCUUCUUCCAAGGUCUUGUGUUGUCACUAUACUUGUAAUUAAUACCAUUUAUAGUUUGAUUGACAAAUCUUCUUGCCGCUAAUAAUUCCUUUUUCAAUUUUUUAUUUUGCACAGAAAGCUCAAAUGUCAAUUCUUUUGCAUAUGAAGCUUUUUCAGUCGGCUUUUGAUUUUUUAAACAUAACCCACUAUUCUCUUCUAAAAGUUGCACAUUACUCUUGAUUUCCUGAGAUAGAUUAUUUUUCCGUAGCUUAUCAACAUGUUCUUCAAAUAUUUUAUGUGCAAAAGAUGAUCAUUUAUCAAAGAGAGAUGUCACUUACUGCUCUAAGAGAGUUACCUUUGUAUGCAACUCCUCAUUCUCAAAACACUUGAUUUGCAGUUUUUCUUGCAUGAUACGGUUAUCUGUCGAUUUUAUCUCAAGCUCAAAACUCUUUUCACUAUAUUGUGAUGUCAUUCCUUCUUGACACUUGGAUGCCACUUGCUCCUCCUCAAAUGGAUUCAAUGAGAAACUCUUCUUCUGCAUCUUGAUCUAAAACAAUUCAUUGCCACUAGAGCCAAGGAUCAGACACAUUCCCUCUUCGAACAUCACCUUGAAUCUCUUCUCUACCGAUUGUCCCACACUAAACAAGUUUUGAUCAAUCUCAGGUACAAACAGAACAUCUGAAAUCAACUUAGUUCCAACACAGCUCUCUAUUGCUACUAUGCCUCUUCCCUUCACUUCUAGGUAUUCUCCAUUUCCUAUCCUUACUUUCGACUUCAAUGACCUGUCAAGGUUUUUAAACAGCUUCUGGUCAUAAGUUAUGUGAUUGGUACAACUACUAUCAACUAACCAACUGUCAAAUAAAAUGCUUGGUGAGAAGCAAGAGACGACAAACAAAUGGUCCUCUUCUUCUCUAACUACAGCAUGUGCUCCACCUUGCUGCUGAUUUCUCAGUUCCUUGUAGAACCUCUCAAUGUGCCCCAUCAAGUUACACCUUCUGCAUUUCACAUCUGGCCUUCUCCAACACCUGAAAUUAGGAUGAUUCUGUUUUCCACAAUACUUACAUGAAGAAUACUUAUUAUAAUUUUCAGUACUAUUACCUUUUGUAACAGUUUUUGAACUACUGUUGUAAUCACUCUUCUUCCCAUUCCACUUUUGUUCCUCUCCUUUUUCGCCUUGCUGUAUCUUAGCCUUUAAUGCUCCUUCUAUGCUUCUUUAUAUGCUUCCUUCCUGCCUCAUUAGCUUCCUCUGUUAUUGUGCUUGUAAAGCACUGAUCAACUCAAUUACUCUCAAUUGAGUCAAGUCCUUAGUGUUCUCAAAUGAAGCAAUAGUUGCUUCAUAUUUCUUAGGCACAGAGACAAGUAUCUUCUGCACCAGUCUAGAAUCAGAGAGAUCAGUCCCAAGAACUCUUACCUUGUUGGCAAUAUCUAUCAGCUUGUCUGAGUAUUCUUUGAUUGACUCAGGCUCCUUCAUUUGUAGCCUCUCGAAUUCUUUGAUCAAGUUCAACACCUUCAUGCUCUUGAUCCUCUCAUCUCCUUGAUACUCAGCUUUGAGGUAGUCCCAUAUCUCCUUCACUGAUCCAAAAGCCAUAAUUCUAUUGAAUAUGGCUGGUGAAAUCGAAACAUAAAGACAAGACUUUACCUUAGCCUUCUUGGUGGUUUUCUCUUUGUGCAUUUUGAUCUGGUUCAUAGUUGAAUUAUUUAGAAGUGGAGUCACCUCGUAGUCUUCCUUGAUAGCUUCCCAAUAAUCACAACCCUCCAUGUAUGCUUGCAUUCUCACGGCCCAUGCUUGAUAAUUCUCUCCAUCAAACAUAGAUGGGGCUAAGAUGGACAGGUUACUCGAUCUCGAUUCUAUUUCCCUCAAAAACCUCUCAAAUGUAUCUCUCAAAUUUUCUCUAAGAACUCUUACGAAACUUUUCUCACAAGCCCUUCAAGAAAAAUAGCUCUCGAUACCACUGUUAGUUUAGCAAAGACUUAAUUGAAAUAUAGAACUAAAGAUGAAAUGAAGGGAACAUUUUAAUUGAUUAACAAAACAACCCUUAUAUACAAGUCCCAAGUAACAAUCUCAACAAGAAAUAAAUUCAAAAUGCUACUAACAAGCUAACAACUCCUACUCCUACUAACAAGCUAACAAAUCCCCCUAAGACUUAGUCUUAUUUUUUAAAAAUUAGUUGCAGCCUUGAGAUACUAACAAAAACUAAGAUCAAACUUAGGAUUAAACUAUCCCACUUGAUUCUAAUCUCAAAUCUAAUAAGAAUCUAAUUUAAAAACAUAAAGAAACAAUAGAUUCAAAGCUUUCUCACUUUACCUUGAAAAAUGGUAAAAAUGAAAUAAAAAUAAAAACAAUAAUUUUCAAUGUUUAGACCUUAUAGAUUACGGUUAGAAAUCAUUUUAUCUUGCAGGAAAAUCAAAGAAUGAUCAAAGAAAUCAAAAGAAAACUCUACUCCAAAAUCCCUUCCAAAAUUGGCAAUAUGAUCGAUAGAGAUGGUCGCACUAGCGACCACUAUAACGCUCCGGAUUCGACCGAACGUCCAAGUAUUGUUUGGGGUGUUACAAAACCAAACAACAACAAUUAAAUUGGUUACAUCAAAUUUUAUCAUUAGUCUUGUACUAUGUGAAAGUUGAAGAUUUAGUCUCUAUUCUUUGAUUAAAUCAUUUUUAGUUUUUAUACUUUUCAAAUUUUGAAAUGUUAGUCCUAGCUUAAAUGGUAGUCAUUAAGCCCGUCAACUAAAGUGGCUUCAUUUUUUUUUGUGAAUAUUAUGUGAAAAUAACUAGCCUAUAUGGAAUGACACGUGAUGAUAUUUUUCGUAUAAGAUUUUAGAAAUAGUAAAAUUUAACUUACCGAAUUUAAUAAUUACCUUUUGGUCAAAAUUGAAAUUUUAAAAUUUAAAAAACACAAAAACUAAAAAUAUCAAAUAAUAAUAUAAAGAUUAAGUUUGCAACUUAUAAAUAUUAUAGGGACCGAUAGUUUAAUUUAACUACAAUUUUAAUUCAAAUAAAAUCAUGAAUACUAACUGAAGUAGAAGAAAUAUGUAAUUUAUGAUUUAACUACUGUUUCUCAUAAUUGGAAAUAAUAAAAGGUAUGCCACUUGAUUUUUUUCAAUAUGUUUCAUAUAAUCUAAAUAUCAAAAUAAUGAAUGAAAAGCUAGGUGUUUUUUAAAAAAUAUUUAUAUUUGACACAUGUUUUAAAAUUUUAAUAUAAGAUAUAAUUAUUUAAAUAUAUAUAGAAGUUAAACAUACGUGCCUCGAACAUAUUUAUACAUAGUAGCUUCAAAUAAUGGAAGAUUUCAAAAUCCAUAGCGUUUAAUCCGAUAAAUUAGUCAUAUAUGUCAAAAAAAAAGUUUAUUAGUUAAAUAGAUCAUUUUUUUAGAGAAAUAUGUCAAUUUUAGAGAAUGUGUGUGAAAGUUAGACUCAUUUUCUGCACAGGUAAUAAGAAAGCCAGCUGGAUGCGCUUUCCCUUUGAAUAUCAUUUUUUUGACUUUUUAAAAAAAUAUCUAUAAUUAGUCUUUUUUUGUCAAAUGGUUAAAUAUUAGUAGUUUUGUCUUUAAGUCUCAAAUUUGAUUCCUCUUCUACUCACAUUUGUAUUUUUUAUUUCAUGUUGUUUUAAGCUUUUUAUUAUUUUUAAUUAAUUUUUUUUAAUAUAUCAACUCCUUUAGCUAAAUGGUUAAAUAAUAAUAAUUUUACCCUUGAGUUUCAAGUUCAAUUCCUCCUCUUCUAAACACAUUUGUAAUUUUUAUUUUUAAUAUCUAUUUUAUUAAUAAAUUAAAUAAUAAAUAUGUAAUUAUAUAAUAAAAAUAUAUAUUUUACAUAUAUCAUUAUGUUAAAAAUAUUUGAAAUUAAUAACCCCUUUAUAUAUACUAUAAACAUCAAUUAAUUUUUUUGAUAUAUUUUUCUUUAUAAUAUUUAUAUGUCAAAUAUUUAUUUUCUCUACGUAUAUUGUGGGUAUGGUGAUUUCUAAUAUUAUAAGAUGAAAUAGUUAUUCAAAUAUAAUUAUUUUUUUAUGUGUAAAAUAUUUCAAAUAUCAAUGUUUUUUCAUCUACAUUGUGAGUAUAAUAUUUCAAAUAUUUUUAUAUGUGAAAUAUUUUAAUUAAUUAUUUCAAAUAUCAUUAUAUUUAUAUGUGAAAUAUUUCAAAUACACAUACAAAAAUAUAUAAUACUAAAAUUUACAACACUUAUGAUAUGGAUUGAAAAUUAAAUAUUACACAUAUAAAAAUUAUAUUUACUAAAAAUAAUGAUAUUUGUAAUAAUUAUUUAAUUUUAUGAAUAAAAGAGAUAUUAAUUAAAAAGAUGAAUUAAAAAUAAAAAAUUUAAAACAAUAUAUUUAUUAAUUAAAAAUAAUAAAAAGUUUAAAACAACAUGAAAUACAAAUGUGAGUGGGAGAAGAAUCGAACCUGGGACUCAAGGACAAAACCAUUAAUAAUUUAUCAUCUGACCAAAGAUACUAAUUAUAUUAUAAAAGUAAAAAAGAAAUGCAAUUGAAAGUGGGUGCGCUUUCCUGCUAGCGCUGGACGCACUUUCACACACACUCUUCAAAAUCGGUCUAUUUCUCUAAAAAAGGUCUAUUUCUCUAAUCUAGCCCUUUUUAUUAAUCAAUAUUGCAUCAACUUUUAAACCUCAAUAUUUAAAAAAACAUCCUCCAACUUCUUUUUGGUGAAUUAUAAUAGGAGGGUAAAGCCGUAAUAGCAAUGCUACUAGUACAACUCAAACCUAAGCCACACUUGAGACAAUAAAUACCAUACCUGAGAUAAUGAAUACCUUGACCAUCAGACCAACACACGAAGUUCAAAACAUUCUCUAGUUUAAUUACAAAUUAUUUACAUUUUGAAUGAAAUUAAUUAAUAGUUUUUUCUUUUCAAAAAAUUAAAUUAAUUAAUGGUUGAAUUUUCUAGACUGCUUCAAAAUACAUCUUUUCUAUAUAAGUUAUUGUUAAUUAAAUAAUGACUUAAUAUAUAAUUUGAUAUUUAAAUUUAAUAUUUUUUAAUGUGGUAUUUUUUUUCAAUUUAAUAUUUGUAUUUGACAAAGGGUAUAUAUUUUGAUACACAAAGGUAACAAUGAUAAAAAUACUUUUAUAUAUAUAUAUAUAUUUCUUUUAUAAAUGCAUAUAUUUAUCAAUAUUGUAAAAUCUUUUAAAACAAUUUUCAAUAUUUAAGAAAGAGCUAAAUGUGAUUUUAAAACAUUUUGAGUUAUCAGAUGGGGGCACAUCCAAGUUAUAAAACAAAGGUUAAAAGUUCAUCGGCUAAAACGAAGUCUUUCGGCUUGAGAAAUAUAAAAGUUUCAUUAUUUAUUAAAAAUUUAAUCAAUUUAAAUAAAAUAUUAAAUAACAUAAAAAUAACUUCAAGGUUGUAAAGUCAACUUAAAAGCAUUUAGAAACACUUUUCGAGUGAUCGGAGGUGUUCGAGGUUAAAUACGAGCUUUAGGGAGCUCAAAACAACCAAACUAAUGUUGUAGCCUCAUAUUGAUAUCUAACCCUAGGUAUCGGUACCUAGACCACGUACUAUAACAUUUUAGCUACUGACUUGUUCGAGUGUCAUGUCUAUGAUAAGGGUACUAGACCCUGGGCCCCUGAAACUGAAAACAGGUAAAAGAAAAACACUUUAAAAACAUAACCAAACAUCAUCGUAUCAUUUCAUUAUGAAUCAAAACAUUACAAAUCAAAAUUUAAACUUAUUUAAACUCAAAUACAAAGCAUAAACACAUUCAUGGGUAGAAUAACAUUCACAAUGGUUAAGAAAACUACAAAGAAUUUAAACAUGCUAUUCCACCUUACAACCUUACAUACAAAAUAAAGCUUUGUAUACAUGCCACCUAAUUUAACUCAAAUAACAUUCAAAUAUUUAAAAUACAACCUUACAAGUUUGUUGGGUGAGCUUCUCGACAAGGCCAUAUCUACAUGUUUUAAACCAAUUAACGCAUGAGCUUUAAAAGCUCAGUAAGUAACAAGGAUAAUCAAACUUAUCCUAGUCCUUAUUAAUGUUGAGUCCUUCAAUGAAAUACCUUGCCUAGCUCAUUCAUGCCAUAUUUUAAUCAGUUUAUUAAUUUUUACCAAAUGAAGAACUCAACUUACCACUUCAAGUUUUAUUAGUUGAUUAAUUAUGGAAUUUAUAUCCAAGUUCCAUAUGAGAAAUUUGUUAGUACAAAACUUCAAUGAGGAAAAUAUCGAACACAAAAAUGCAACACAAACAACAAGUCGAAUAGAAAAUGAAGAAAUAGGACAAGACUCUAAGGCGUGUAUCAAGCCACUAUCUUUAAGGUUCUAUUCGCCCCCACCUAUACUCAGUGUGCAAAUUAGUAUCAAGCAAAUGAACCUCGAGAAUACAAUGAAUGAAGCAUGAUGAUUAUUUGUGUUUUGCACUGACUAAAAUAGUAAGCACUAAGCAAUGUAUAACAAAAAAAUCAAUUUCUAUAAAGAAUUUAUGCGACAACUCUUUAUAGAACAAUCUAAUAAUAUUAAAAAAUGGAUGAAAGGUAGAAUGAAUGUUUAGAACUUGUUGGUAUGAUUUCCAAAUGAUAUCUCAUUCCUAUUUAUAGGAAUUUUCAUGUCUCUUUAUAGAGACAUCUUUCAAUAGGUGUCUUUUCUAAAUAAUAUCUUUAAAAGAGACAUAAUUAUUCAUCUUAUAUCUCUUGAUUAAACAUAACUAUUCAAAUAAUAUUGUUUGAAUAGUCAUAAUUCUUUGUCAAUAACCAAGAAGAUAUAACUUUUGAUUAAUUACACACUUUGAUUUAUAGUUAUUAAAACACUAUAAAUAUUUAAAAAUCUUCCAACAAUCUCCCCCCAUUUUCAAAAUAUUUUACACUUUGAUAAUAAUCUUGGAAAUCAAUUUGCAUAAAUGAAGGUGUCUUACGAUUGAACCUUCACUUAGUGAAAACAUGUUAAAGUUAAUCGAAAUUGCAUGGUAGACUAAGCUUUGAACCAACUAUUCCAUUUGAUUAAUCGAACACAUCUCACACAAUGAUUUCAACACCGAUUAAUGCAUAGUAUCUGGAGACACUAUUAUGGCCAUGUGUCUGUAUCCUCUUUUCUUGAGUGCUGUCAGAGCCAAGCUCUUUAGCUUCUAGAAGUGGCCACACUUCCACUUAGAUAGGUAGAUCCCAUCAAGAGUAUUUCCGUAAUUAUAACACUUUAACAUAUGUAUGUUAUGAGUCUAUUAAUAGUAUAUUACUAAUCUUUCGCUUACCAUUAUAGGUUCUUAGCACUUUAAUCUUAGGAUUCAUUUAUUUAUAGUGCUAGCAAUCACAUACUAAUAAUGUUCUUUGUCUCAUUAAACUUAAGACUUAAAGUUAUACCAAGAUUUGAGUCAAGUUUCCAUCAUGGGUAAUUCUAAUUAAUGGGUUUGAGUCCCAUCCCUUUUGAGGUUUUGUUGACUACAUCUCUAGCAAGACUUUUUGUCAAAGAAUCCACUAAAUUUUUACUUGUCCUCACAUAAUUAAUAGUGAUCACUCCAUCAGAAAUUAAUUGUUGGACAUAGCUAUGUUUUAAUCCAAUGUGUUUAGACUUUCCAUUAUAUAAUUGGCUAUAUGCCUUUGCUAGAGUAGCCUCACUAUCACAACAGAUAGAAAUAGGUGAAAUUGUUUUAGGCCAUAAAGGUACAUCAUAAAAAAAUUUUCUUAACCAUUCUGCUUCUUUAAAUGCAACAAUUAAUGCAAGAAAUUUGGCUACCAUGGUGGAAUCAGUAAUAAAUGUUUGUUUCUUAGAACUCUAAGAAUUGGCUUAUCCACCAAGAAUGAAGAUCCAUCCACUAGUAGAAGCAUGAUCUUCCAAACUUGUAAUCAUCCGAAUACCUUUUUAAAACUGAAGGAUUUCCAUUAUAGCAUAAUCAGUAGUUAAUAGUUUUCUUUAAAUACCUAAGUAAUCUAUUCAAAGUUUUUCAAUGCAAACUACUUAGAUUACUUGAGUACUUACUCAGUUUCCCAAUAGCAUAUGUAAUAUCUGGUCUUGUACAAGUCAUUAUGUACAUAAGACAACCAAUGAGACUUGUAUAUUUCAAUUGAUCAAUUUUCCUACUAGCAUUAGAUACUAAUUUUAUUUGAGGAUCCAUGAGUGUAGAUGUUGGUAUAAAAUUAAAAAAAUCAAACUUUUUAAGCACAUUUUCAACAUAAUAUGAUUGUGACAAAGCUAUAAUGCUUUCCUCUCGAGUUAUUUUAAUCCCAAGAAUAACAUCUGCUACACCAUAUCUUUCAUAGAAAAGUUGUUUGAGAAAAUUUUCUUUGUGUUUUCUAUUUGUUCCAAAUAUGUGACAAAUUUUAGCAUGUCAUCUACAUAUAAGCAAAUUAUGAUACCUUUUUCAUUUUCAAAUUUGCUAUAUAUGCACUUAUCAGAUUCAUUUAUUUUAUAGCUAUUAGGUAAAACAACCUUAUCAAAAAUUUGGUGCCAUUGCUUUGGUGCUUGUUUAAGUCAAUAUAGAGAUUUAACAAGCUUACAUACCUUAUGCUCUUGUCCUGGAACAACAAAUCCUUCAGGUUUUUCCAUGUACACUUCGUCUUCCAAUUCACCAUUUAAAAAUGUAGUUUUAACAUCCAUUUGGUGAACACCAAAAUUAUACAUUAAGGUAAGUGAUAUUAAGAGUCUAAUCUAAACUAUCACAAUUCGGUGUACCAGAUUGAACCAUUUUUCCAUACUUAAAGAGCUUGUAUAAAAUGAAAUUUAAUUAUGUUUUUACUUAGUUUCCACUUUUAGUUCAUAAAUAAUAAGAAGUGUAAUUUGAGCCACUUAUAUGACCUUAGGGGCCAAAAUAGGCCUAAAGGAAGGCUAUCAUAUUUAGUGAGUUUGUAGGACAUCAUUCGAAGGCAUAAAAAAAGGAGACUGGCCGCGAUGUUGCAACACAAAGUGUCGAUGUUGCAACAUAGUAAGCAGAGCACUCAAAACGAGCAAACUGCCUUCAAUGUCGUGACAUAGCCAGAAGGUGUCACGACACAACCCUGUAAUCAAGCUUUAGUUCGUAAACUAACAUCAGUGUUGUGACACAAGUCAGAGGGUGUCGCGACAUCACUUUGACGAGAAGAAUUAAUGAGCCAAGGGCGUUUUGAUCUGUACAACAAACUUUAGUGCAAAAACGUCAGUCAAAUUAAGUCAACAGAUGACGACUAACCCUAAGCUUAUAAAUAGAAAACUCUAAACACUUCAUAGAAAGUUUUUAUUCAAGUUUUAGUAUACGUCUUUCAUUUAGUUUUAUUUUCAAUUUCUUUCUAGUUUAUUUUGUACUUAGGUUUCUUUUAUCAUUGUAAUUUUACUUUAGUUUCUAUUUCGUUCUUCGGGGAAUAUGAUUUGGGGAGAAAAUCGAAUCUUAGCAGGGAAUAUGAUGUUUAUUAGAUCCAUAAGGAACUAAUCUCUUUAUAGGAGAUUAGCAAGUGGAUGUGGGAGUAAUUAACUCUUAUGUAGGGCUUCUUAGCGGAUCAGCUGAUUAGGAUAGGAAGAACUUAAAACCCUAGACCUAACAACCCUAGAAAGUCAUCUAGGUGGGAAUGAACCCCAAAUUGGUAUUGUCUAUCCGUGAACACCUUACCUCAAUUCGGUCUGGACUGUGAGGUGGAGAGAUAAGUAAUUCUUGUCGACUCAUUAGUUUAGUGGAAGAUCGAGAGAUCUGGCUAGGUUAAUUACUAGUUGAUUGAAUAGAACCCAAAGUAGGAGUUAGUUUUGACCACUGAAACAAUUUAGUCUUUUUUCCUUAAAAUUGAUAAAAUCUAUAAAUUAUUCUCUUCUUGUUUUUAUGCAUUUUAAUUAUUUUUAUAAAAUAUAAUUUUUUAUCACCGUAGGAUUCAUCAUAAUAUAGUUUAAUUAAAUUACUAAUUAGAUCUAUUAACGUAGAUAUUAGAAUUAGUUUAGUUUCGCCUCCCUUGGGUACAAUUCUAUAUUACAACCUGACUGUAUACUUGAAGAAACAGUCUAACGAUUAUAUUUGGUUACAGGAUUUACACUCUAUACGGUAGUACGUCCGGAGGAGGUCAAGUUGUUGGCGUCAUUUCCGGGGAGGCAACGCCACUAGAUUAGUUUAAUUUUUAUGCUUAAUAGAAUAAUUAAGAAAAUUUUAAAUUAUAGAUACGAUUUUAAUUUUUAGUUGUUUUUAUUUUUCUUUACUAGCUUUUUUGUUUUUUCUUUGUGGUUUCAGUGCAUUACUAGAAAUAAGGGCACAUUUAUAAAGCCGGCCACUGAUCCAGAAAGAAUUGUUCGUAGAAAUCAUCAACAGCAACAACAGUAGAUGCAAAAUAACCCAUUUGCUGCUGUCAAUCCACAGCAUGAAAAUUCGUUUUUUGAUAUUCUUAAAUUGCUAGAUCGACCACCACUACCACUGUAGUUACCACUAAAACAACAAGUGGCUCAAGAGGAACACGCACUGAGAGAUUACGCAUUACCAACCCUUGACGCAAUACAGGGUAGCACCGAAAGGCCGACUAUAACCCUAAAUAAAUUUGAGAUAAAGCCGGCAAUGAUCCAGAUGAUACAAAAUAACCUGUAGUUCAAAGGGACUAUAAAGGAGGACCUGAACUAGCAUAUAAAAUGAUUUCUCCAACUUUGUGAUACUUUUAAGUCUAACAAGGUCACCGAUGAUGCUAUUCAUCUUUGGUUGUUCCCUUUCUCCUUAAUAGAUAAUGUUUUAUCUUGGUUAGACUCGCAUGCACCAGGAUCCAUCACGACAUGGAACGAACUAGCAAAUAAUUUCUUUUACAAGUUUUUUCCUAUUAGAAAAAUGAUCCAACUAAGAAGAGAGAUUUCCACAUUUAAGAAAUGAGAGGGAGAAAACUUUCAUGAAGCUUGUGAGCGAUUCAAGUCGCUGGUACAAAGAUGCCCUCACUAUGGUUUACAUGACUGGUUACCAUUGCAGAUGUUCUAUAAUGGGCUAGAUGCACAAUCAAGAUUAGGACUAGGUGGAGUCGCAGAAGGAACUUUGAUAGAUUGAACAUACGAAAAUGUGUAUGAUCUGAUAGAAAACAUGGUCAUGAAUUCCCGCCAAUGGCCAAAUGGGCGAUUUACUUAUGGCUAGAGACCAUCCACAGUUAAAGUUGUCCAUAUGGAAGACAAGUAUCAACAAAUUUUGGACAAACUUAAUUUGACCAAGUCAACAUCCAGUAGGUCCACAAUAUAUGGUGCAGAUAGACCAAUCGACCAAUAUCUUGAGAACGCAGUCAAGAUAGUAAAUUACAUUGGGAAUAGGGGUAAAAAUCCCUAUUCAAAUACUUAUAUUCCUGGUUAGGGAGAUCACCCAAAUUAAAGAUGGAGUGGCAAUCAAAUAGGAGGUAACGGUCUUAACCUAGUUAAACAAAAUAUUACUUACCAACCUCCAUAUUUGUAGAAACCUUGGGAAAGUGCCAACCCAAAUGACUAUAUUGUUUAUGGCCAAUGAUUGGAUUGGAUUGAGGGAGAGAUGCAGUCAAUGCGAACAGUUGUAAGACGAAUGCAGUCUGAGUGCACUCAGAUACGAACCAUAUUAACAAACCUAGAAGAUCAAAUGAGCCAAUUAAUGAGCAUGAUAGGAGACAUCAAACGAAAAAUUGGUACGAACAGUCCAAACAAUACUGAAAAUAAUCCACAAAGAGAGGAAAGAAGCAAGUGAAGGUAAUAGUGCUCCAGUCAGGUAAAGUACUGAGUAGCCUAAUUAAUCCUACUCAAAAGCAAGACGAGGAGGAGGCGAAAGAUCCUUAAGACAAAAUCCCUCAAAAAUAUAAUGUUGAACCAAAGCCAAAAAAGGUAGUCAAGCUGGCAGUUGAGCCAGAAGCCAAACAAAACGUAGAACCUAUACUUAAAAAGGUACCAUUCCCUUCACGGUUAACAGACAAGUUGAAACAGGAUGAUGUGGAGUUUGUAAGUUUUCCAAACUUAUUUUAAAUCGCUUAACGCUAAUUUAACUCUCAUCGAACUAAUCGAAAAAGUUUCCAAGUAUGCUUAAUUUUUAAAGGAAAUAAUGGAUAGGCGUAAGAAAAUUAAAACGAAAGAGCAAGUAAACCUAGAUACAUUCUGUAGUGCGAUCAUUACCAAACAAAUACCCCUUAAAUUAAAUGCCCCAAGAGUUUUACUAUUCCAAUAGAGAUAGGAACAUUGAUUUCAGUAAGGCCCUAUGUGACCUAGGAGCCAAUAUUAAUUUAAUGUCUUUAUUGAUAUAUAAGAAACUCAGGUUAAGGGAGUUCAAGAACACACAUAUCACACUAUAGUUAGCUGAUAGAUCUUCAGUUCAACCGAAAGGGGUGCUCGAAGAUAUGUUGGUAAAGGUGCGUAAUUUUAUCAUCCUGGUCGAUUUCAUAAUUUUAGACUUCGGGGAAGACCAGAAGAUACCUAUUUUGCUAGGGAGACCCUUCUUAACCAUAUCUAGGUCCUCCAUCAAUUUAGAAAACAAUGAAUUAAUCAUGAAAAUCAAUGAUGAAACUGAAAAUUUUAAAUGUCACCAACAUAAUGAGGAAUGUAGAACAUAUUUAGGGAUAACAUAUUAUAAUAUAUAUGUAAAUUUCCCUAACAAUCUAGAUCAAGGAAGGGUAUUUUCUGUGAUCAUGCAGGUCGAAAGAUCAAGUACAGAGAAUAGGACAAAUAGAGUAAGGUGGAGUGGCACGAUGGACGCUGGACCAAUUCUGAUAGACAACCAAUAAAUGAAGUGUCUAUGAAUAGAAUAACAGAGCUGACGGACGAAUUCGACAGCAACACCUGAUCUUCCAUAUAUUAUUUUAAUUUUUUUGUAAAUUAUUGUAUUUUAAUAGACUUAAAUAUUAGUAAUUGGAUAGGAAUGAGCCUAAAUAGGUAGAUUAGGACUUAAUUUUAUUUAAAUUGAUUAGAAUUAGGAUAUUUAUGUACCUAGCACUUGAAAUUCAAGAGAAAAAGGCCAAAACAAGAUCAGUGUCGCAACACGACACCUUUGUGACCCAACGCUGAGUCUAGAAUAAAUUUUUUUUUAAAAUUAAGUCGAUGUCGUGACACGGGUACUCAAGUGUUGCAACAUUGAUGAAAAUAGCCCCAACUCCCAAAAUUUCAAGAUGUGUCGUGACAUUAGAAGACUUUCAGGGGUGUCGCGACACGAAACCCCUGUAUCACGAUAUCGUUGCGAAUUUUUACAAGGUUGACCUGACUCGUUGCGUAGCCUGAAAGUCAAAACCCUAUUUUUACCUAGUUUACUAACCUAAAACACUAAUUCUUUACAAACCAAAACACUAUUAGCACAAUUCUAAUACUCUUCUAACUUCAAAACACUUUAAACCUCUCUGAAACCCUUCCCAUCUUCAAACCUUAUUUCCCAUUCUUCCUUGUUCUUUUCUUCUUUGUACUACUAAUAUGAUUUCUUUUUUUCAGUUUUUUUCUCUUUUGUGCAAGUGUAAGGUCCACAUCAAUAAUGAAAUUGCAACAAAUUCUUGAAAAUAAUCACAAAUAUUCAAUAUUACGAGGUUAAGGGUUCAUCCUUGAACUUUAUUGUUACAUUGCAUUUUGCAUUUUUGAAACAUAUAGUUUGAUUAUUAGUUCAUCUAGCCAAAUAUAUUUGAAAAUGCCUCCUAGGAAGUUUAAAAGAACCAAAAAACAAGAGGCACUGGUGGUUACAAACCCCUCUAAAUUUUAAAACAUGAAUGUCAAAAUUUUUUUUCUAGAACUACAAUGAAGACAUUCAUCCAAGAAAGGGGUUUCGAGCCAUCGAUGGUCCUCUAUAAUGAAAUUUGGGUGCUAGUUCGGUAUCAUAAAUGGGAUUGAUUUUGCAUAACCCCAAAAGGACACAUUGUUAUCCCAGUUAUCCAAGACUUCAAUGCAUCUUUUAGGAUCAAAAGUCUAGGAGACCGUAUAAUGUCGUUUGGGAAACUGUAACGGUAAGGGGUACAGAGGUGUAUGUCAUCCCUCGAGAAAUUUUUAAGUUUUACAAUGUUCUAUAUUAUGAAACUGAUUUGUUGAUAGUGAUUAAUUCACAAAUGGAUUGAUAAAUAUGGAAUGUGGCCACGAGUUACUUGUUCUCGAACAAGUAAUUAAUCACAAACAUUUGUUGACAGUGAUCAUAUUAAUCAUUAAGAAGACACAAUGGUGACAAUAAGAUAAAAUAGGAUUGUAUUGAGUGAACGGAUUUAACUCAAAGGAAUCAGGGAUAUCAUAUGAGGGUAACACACAUAUGACGAGGUCAUUGGACAAAUCAGUUGGAUGAACUGCUUUCGUAAAGGGUAUACAAUAAGGAGUUUCCAAUCAUGGUACUUCUUGAGAACUAAUUCCAUGAGUAAGUAAUUUUGAAUUAUCGAAACGAUGCUUCUGGACAUAAUUGCAAUUACUAGAGCCUAAUUGUAUAUGUCUGAUUAGUCCUUCCACUAGCUCAACAAAAGCUCAAUAGGACUACAUUUGAAUUAGAAGAAAAUUCUACGACUUUGGAAAUAAUGUAGUUGAUUUAUUUUAUUUGAUGUGGAAUUAAAUUAGUCGGUCGUGAGAAUUGUUCAAACAUAAAAUUUGAUUAAAAAUUUUCUUGAAAAAUUAAAUUUGGAAAAUCUCAGUGAUUUUUUAGAAAAAUAAUUUUAAUAAAGUAAAAUUAAAUUAAUCAAAAUUAAUAUGAUAUUUUUAGAAAUUAAUUUUCAAGUCCAACAAUUGGCCCAAUAAGUAAUUGAACUUAAAAAUUGGACUUGAGAUCGAAAAUUAAGCUCAAGAACCCAAAAUCGAGAUCGAGACCAAAAAAUUGAUCGAACCUAGCCUAGUAUGUGAAACUAGGCCGACGGUCCAACCAGUAGCUAGACCGGACCGGUGAGUCAUCACUUGCUCGGAUUGAAUUGGGAGCAGCAGAACCGACUCAGAGUGCCAUAAGGCUGUCGUGCCUCCACCACCAGGCACUAUGGCGCUGAAGGUUGUAGGGGCAGCAUUCUGGUGGCCAAUGAAUGGUCCUUCGGCGGUUGAGUAGUGGAAGAAUUACACUCCUACUAGAACUCUAUCGGAUAAUUUAAUUUCAGAUUAACUAUUCCAAAAAUAAUAUUAUUUUAAUUACUUUAAUAUUAAAUUUAAUUUAAUACUUAUCUUAAUAGUUUUAAUAUUAAUUUAAUAGAUUUAAUAGUAAAGUUAAUCUAAUAUUUAUCUUGAUAAGUAUUAUAUUAUAUCAAUAUUAAAGUGAUUAAGUUUAAUCAUAAUUGAACUCUUUAAACUACCCCUAUAUAAAAAGAGUAUUGGGUCAUUAUUUUUUACAAAUUUGAAUUCAAGAGAAAGUUGUAGAGAGAAAAUCAUUUGAAGAAAUUAUUUUAAAAAAUUUCUAAAGAUAUUUUUCAAAUUUACAACUUGAUCCCAAAUUUUAGAGAAAUUGCAAAAGUACCCAUUGAUAAUUUUGUGAAAAAUUUUCUAAUUCGAAGUGAGUCCACACUCGGCAUACGUGAGCUUGAGGAUAGCGGAGAAGACUGCUUUGUCAAAGCUUUCAUCCUUGACGAAUUGAAGAGGUACAAGUUUGAUUAAGUGUUUAUUUCUUUAAAUAUCACAACCAAGCUCCAGUUUUGGAAAAACUUUUAAAACUUUGUUUUUUUUUCCUUAAACUUAUUUUCCGUUGUGUUUUCUAAAUUUGAUUUUUUCAACAAUUGGUAUCAGAGUCAAAUUGCGUUCUAUCAGAGCCAGAUUGCAUUCUAUCAAUAAGUAUAAAUAGGUAAUCAAAAUAGAUUUCUAUUUUUCUUUAAUGAUUCAAUUACAUAGAAAGUGACACUCUUUAGAUCUUAUGCAUGUUUUGAGUUACAUAUGGGAAUGGAUGUGAUAUUAUAUAUUUGUUAUAUAUUUGUUAUUUUUUCCCAACUUAUGGUUAUUAGGAAAUAGACCAUGAACUAUCAUAUCCACGUAGGACUAUUUUUUUUUUAAAUUCAUAGAACUCUCUUGAGCCAAAAACGGACAUAGGACUUAAAUGUAAUUUUUCCAAAAGGAGUCCAUGACGAGGAGAAGAUGGAGCAAUGGCGGUUAAAGUCCCAAGGAAUGCCUUGUGGUGAAAAAUUGUAUAAUUUUUGUUUUUCAUUUAUUUUCUAAAAAUAGAACGAUAGAAACCUUGUCUGACUAUUUUAUUUUAAUUACUCAUCUCAUUUUAUAUAUGUUUUAUAAUAUUUAUAUUAUGUUAUAUUAUAUUAUAAGUUUUAUAUAUAUGUAUGAGAUGAUCCACAGUUAAUUGAUUAAAAAAUAAGAAGUGUGGUAAUGAGAAUGUUCAUGUCUAGGAUUGGCUCUAGAAAGGAAAGACUUUUUUUUAAGUGGUCAAAUAUGACUCACCUCCCUUUCUUGGGACCCUAACUAGUGCACGGUUUACAUUCACUUCUUCAAUUUUUCCCUUAAAAGAAAACUGUGGAGAAUGAAAAUUAUUUUUUUAUGAUUGAUUGAUUCUUGUGAAUAAAUGAAUGUGAAUAUUUUUUCAUACCAUACCAUGCAUAUAUUGGAAGCAUGCCAUAUGUAUUAGGCAAUAAUACCACUAAGACUAUUGUAUGAUCCUUCUUGAAAUCUGGGAUAAAAACCUUGCAUGUUUUUAAAAUAUUGAGUGCGAGAGGUCCUUGAGCAAUACCUACGACCUAUAUUGAUGGUCCCUAAGUUAUAGCAUGAUAAAGUUUUGAUUCGGUUCCUACCCUGGUUGCACCCCAAGGUAAACUUUAUCAUAUGGGUUCAAUAGAUGAGAUUUUCUUUUAAUGACAACUAGUCAUACAUGACUCUCACUGAGAUUGUCCCAAGAUGACUCACAAAUGAAGGUAUGUUCAUGAUGGGUGUUGAGUCAAUGGUUACACACUCAAGAUCGUCUCUCAUUAAAUAGUUCCCCAAUAAAUUAUAUUUAAGCUAGACAUGAUGGUCAAACGUUAAACGGAAGUUGGUUCAUGUGGAGUCUUGAGAAUAAAGAAUAAGAAGUCAAAAGAUUCUAAAAAGAUCAAAUAUUUCUUCUACAACAUGAAAUGGCACUUCAGAUCAAACUACAAGGAGUAUAAGGAUUACCUAACUAAAAAGGGAAAAUGUAUGAGACUCUUUUUGGUUGAAGCUUGCUUAGUGGAAGAAUCAAUUGGCAAUUGGUUUGUUGAUUUUGGAGUCACUAUGUGUGUGUUUCUUUAUAGGGGUUCGGCAAAAUGAGAAGUCUACGUGACAAGGGCCUCUAAUUGUGAACUAGAAAUGGGAGCUAUGUUUCAUUCGAAGUAAUGGGAGAAGUUAUUUUGCAUUUUGAUAAUUUUAGGAAGAUUAUUUUAAAGGAUGUGUAUUAUGUGCCUCAUUUUAGGAGGAACUUAAUUUCUCUAGCAUGUUUAUUUAAUGAUGGUUAUUCUAUAAUAGACUGAUGGAAAACAAUCUCUAUUUUAUCAAACCAAAUAGCUACUCGAUGCUUGAAAUUGAAAUGGUGAAUAAGAAGCUUAAAACUUCUCACUCUAAUGAGGGGUACUUAUGGCACUUAAGACUUGGUCAUAUUAACCAAGAAAGAAUCACUAAACUCAUGAGAGAUGAUCCUUUAAGUAUGCUUAAGGAAGCUAGUGUUCCAUAAUGUGAAUCUUGCUUAGAAGGUAAAAUGACUAUGAGGUUUUUUAAUGUGAAAGGUAAAAAGGCCAAGCAACCUUUAAAACUUAUGCAUAUUGAUGUAUAUGGUCCCAUGAGUAUCAGUACCCGAGGAGAUUACAAUUAUUACGUGACUUUCAUCGAUGACUAUUCUCGAUAUGGAUAUGUGUAUCUAAUGCACCGCAAAAGUGAAACCUUUGAUAAAUUUUGAGAGUUUCGUGUGAAAGUGGAAAAGUAAUUAGGUUUAUCCAUAAAGAAUCUUUGGUCUAACUGAGGUGGGAAACACUUGUCCGACGAGUACUUAGGAUAUCUCACAAAGAAUGGAAUUUUGUCCAAGUUGACUAUGCCAAGCACUCCAUAGCAGAAUGACAUAGAUGAGAAAAGAAAUAGAACCUUUCUUGACAUGGUUCAUUCAAUGUUAAGCUAUUCACAACUCCCUACUUCCUUCUAGGAUAUGCAAUACAAAUGACUUUCCAUAUUCUAAAUUAUGUGUCAACCAAGUCUACCUAUAAGACACCUUAUGAAAUAUGGCAUGAAAAGAAUGCAUCAAUUACAAUGAGACCUUCUCUUCUAUUGACAUGCUCAAGACUAUCCACAUACUAUUAUUUAUUGCCACUACUCUCGAUUACAAGAUCUGGAAAAUGGAUGUUGAGACAGUAUUCUUGACUGACUAUCUUGAUGAGACCAUUUACAUGACUCAACCCAUUGGUUAUGUUGUCAAAGAAAAUGAGCAAAAAUUUUGCAAACUGCUAAGAUCCAUUUAUGGACUUAAGCAGACGUCCCAUUCAUAGAAUAAAAUAUUUGAUUAAACAAUCAAGACUUUUGGGUUUGAGCAAAACACUAAUGGACCUUGUGUUUAUAAGCGUAUAAAAGACAAAAAGGUGGUUUUCAUCGUUCUGUAUGUAGAUGAUAUUCUACUUAUUGAAAAUAAUGUAGGAGAAUUGUCAUCGGUUAAACUGUGGCUAUCUCAAUAGUUUAGCAUGAAGGACUCGGGUAAAGCUAGUUAUAUUUUUGAAAUUCGAAUCUUUAGGGAUUGAAAGAAUAAAAUGAUAGCUCUAUCACAAGCUUCAUACAUUGAUAAGGUACUGGAAUGGUUUGCAAUAACCGAUGCGAAGUUAGGUAUUCAACGGACUGCAUCGGGUUUUCAUCUUUCUUUUGAUGACUAUCCUAAGACAGUAGAAGAAAGAGAGCAUAUGAGUAAGGUUCCAUAUGCUUCAAUAGUUGGAAGCCUUAUGUAUGCAAUGUUUUGCACAUGUCCAGAUAUGUGUUUCGCCUUAGGAAUUGUAGAUAUCGUGAAAGUAGCUUCUGAAUAUAACUUUGUGGAUUUGUUUGCUAAGACUCUUGUAACUUAGAGUUUUAACAACCAUGUCGAGGAUAUGGGAAUAGAAAAUAUGACAUAUUUACUUCACUAAGGCAAGUGAGAGAUUGUUGGGAAAGGUGUCUAUAUUGUAGUAAACAUGUACUUAUUUUCAAUGUAUGUGAACGAUGAAUGAAUAAACAAAGUUUAUUUCAUAUUUCACUAUUAUGUCUUUUGUGUUUCUAUCUUUCAUGUUUUGCAUGCAUAUCGAAAUUGUGACAGGUGAAUAUUAGCUUAUUGAUUGUCCAAGUUUAAAUUGAUGAUAAGUAGCACUGCAAAAACGUUUAAAGUGCGAAAAAAGAUAAUUUACUUCAGUAGAUAGUCUAAACGAAUCUAUAAUCCCAUAAAAAAUCAAAGUGAGCAUUUGAUUCAAAUACUUAGAAGGAUUAUUAUUUCGUCCACAAUUCCAAUUCGAGAUAUGGCUAGUCUUGGCUAUCGAAGUAGUUGAUUCCAUAGGUAGAGGCAUAGAUGUACUCAUUGGAAGAAUGAUACAUUAGACUGAACCCAAGAUGAAUUAAUUCUGAAUCUAUUUGGUAAUUAAUUCACUUGAGGUGUUCAUGAUGUGAUUUACCUAAAUCCUGAGUUAGUCACAAAACAUGUGUAUCUAACUUAUGUGCUUUGAUAUAAGGAGAGAUUUGAGCUCUAAACAUGAUCGAUCCCAUAGCCAAUAUGUUGGGUACAUGACUUGUGUAUGGAUGGUUUUACUAGCAGUAAUGGAACUCAUAGCUCGAUUAAAGAGUUAACGAUAUUAUCUAAUUUUCAUUGAGUGGAUUGAUAAAUAUGAAACAUGGCCACGGGUUUCUUGUUCUCGAACAAGCAACUUUUCACAAUCAUUUGUUGACGGUGGUCAUAUUUAAUUAUUAAGAAGACAAAAUGGUGACAAUGAGAUAAAAUAAGAUUGUAUUAAGUGAAUGGAUUUAACUCAAAGAAAUCAAGGAUAUUAUAUGAGGGUAACACACACACACGAGGUCAUUGGAAAAAGCAAUUGGAUGAAUUGUUUUCGUAAAGAGUAUACAAUAAAGAUUUUUCAAUCAUGGUACUUCUUGUGGACUAACUCCAUGAUCAAGUAAUUGCAAUUUAUUGAAACAAUGCUUCUAGAUAUAAUUGUAAUUACUAGAGCCUAAUUGUAUAUGUCUAAUUGGCCCUUUCGCUAGCUCAAAGAAAAACUCGAUCGGACUGCAUUUGAAGCAAAAGAAAAUUCUACGACUUUGGAAAUAAUUUAAUUGAGUCGAUUUAUUCGAUGUGGAAUUAAAUUAGGCAGUCAUGAAAAUUGUUCAACUAGAGAAUUUGAAUAAAGAAUUUUGGAAAAUCUCAGUGAUAUUUGAGAAAACUAAUAUAAUAUUUCUAAAAAUUAAUUUUCAAGUCAAAUAAUUAGCCCAUUGGAAAUUGAACUUAAAACUUGGACCUGAGAUUGAAAAUUGGACCUGAGAACCCAAAAACAAGACCAAAACCCCAAAACUGGUCCAACCAAGGCUGGUAUGUGAAACUGGGUCAACAAUCCAAUAGGUGGUUGGACCAGAUCGAUCGAUUUGUCACUGGAUCGGACUGAACCAGCAGCAAUCGGACCUGCUUGGGGUGACAUCAGCAUGUCGCGCCUGUACCACGGGGCACUCUGGUGUGGACGGUUGCGGCGAUAGCAUUCCGAUGGCUAGUGGGUGGUCUUUGGCGGUUGAGUAGUGGAAGAAUUACACUUAUACUAGAACUCUAUCGAAUAAUUUGAUUUUAGAUUAACUAUUCCAAAAAUAAUAUUAUUUUAAUAGUUUUAAUAUUUAAUUUAAUUUAAUAAUUAUCUUUUAGAUAAAUAUUCUAUUAAUUUAAUGGAUUUAAUAUUAAAUUUAAUCUAAUAUUUAUCUAUUUAUCUCGAUAAGUAUUAUAUUAAUUUAAUAUUAAAGUGAUUAAGUUUAAUAAUAGUUAAACUCUCUGAACUCUCUUUAUAUAAAGCAAGCCUUAGGUAAUUAUUUUUCAUAAACUUGAAUUAAAGAGAAAGUUGUAGAAAGAAAAUUCUCUAAGGAAAUUAUUUUAGAAAAUUUCUAAAGAUAUUUUUUAUAUUUACAACUUGACCCCAAAGUUUAGUGAAACUACAAAAUUACCCCAGUAGUAAUUUUGUGAAAAAUUUUUAUUAAAAGCGAGCCCACACUCUGCAGACAUGAGCUUAAGAUAGCGGAGAAGACUACUCAGUUGAAAUGUUUAUCCUAGAUGAAUCGAAAAUGUACAAUUUUGAUUGAGUGUUUAUUACUUUAGAUAUCACAAUCAAGUUCUACUUUUGAAAAAAAAAUUUAAAACUCUAUUUUUCUUUUCCUUAAACUUAUUUUCCGUUGCGUUUUUUAAAUCCGAUUUUUCCAAAAGGUGAAAGUAAUAGUGCUUGGUUACUCGUCAAGGUUAAACCUACACGAAUCAGAUAAUAGUGUAACACCUCUCACCCAUAUUCAAUGCCAGAAUAGGGUUACGGAGCAUUACCAGACUUAUAACACAUAUAACCGUACUUUUCUCAUACAUUCAAUCAAUUCAUACAAUCAUCAUUCAUUCUCAAUCAAUGUGUCCCUUAUAAUAACCUAUGAGGCCUUAAACAUGCUUUAGGAGUGGUUCCGGACUAAAUCGAUAACUUAUAAAAAUUUCACGAAACUUUGAAAAUUUUUCACAAAAUAGAGAACACACGCCCGUGUGAGCAGGCCAUGUGUCUCGCACGACCACUAGACACGCCAGUGUCACCGGUCGUGUGAAAACAGGGGGUACAUACUGACUUGGGUCACACGGCCAACCACUUGCCCUUGUGUCUAGCCCGUGUGCCCUUCUAAGUGGCCACACACGCUCAUGUGCCAAGCCGUGUGCUAGGCCGUGCCAAACCUGCAGGGUAUAACGACUUAUGCGACACGGCCAAGUCACAUGUCCGUGUGCCAAUUAGGGGGUAUACUGACUUGUACCACGCGGCCAGUCACACGCCCGUAUGUGAGACCGUGUAACAUGGGGGGUAUACUGACUUGUGCACCAGGGGACACAUGGCGAUGUAACAUGACCGUGUGUCAUACACAGUUGAGACACACACUCGUGUCUCUGCCUGUGUGGACAAAAAAUAGGCUAUUUACAAAGCCAUUUUGCCACCCUAUUUUUACAUACCUAUACAAGCAUAAUUUGCAACAUUUAUAACUCAACAACCAAUCCACAACAUUUCAUACACAUUUUAUACCAAUUCGAUAUAGUAUUCAAAUACCUAAUUAAUAUCAUACAUUUUUCAUUCAUAUGCCUAUCACAUACCAAGACAACAUUGCAUAUUUUCAUUCCAUCUACUAUUUUCCAAAACAUACCAUAUUUGAAUACUUAUACACAAUCAAAACAUUGUACCAAGUUAAGCCAAAUCACAUGGCUUUAACAUAAACCACAAAAUGUACCAAACUCACCAUCUUAAGUAAGUAUAACUAUCAUCUUUAUAGAUAACCUAUACAUGUCAUAUUUACAUAUAUCCAUAAGUUCAAAGGUACCAAUCGACAACUGGAUAGUAUGAUGCGUAACUCUGACUUUAUCCGAAUCGAGCGAGCUAUCGAACCUUUAUAAAACAUAGAAAAGAAACAGAGUAAGCUUUAUAGCUUAGUAAGCCCGUAUAAUUUAGCAUUUAACUUACCAUUUACACACAAUCAAACAAUUAAACAAAGUAUAUCAAAUUCACUUGCCAAAUGCCUAUACACAAGCAUUCAUCAACAAGUUAGUCACAUAAGUAUAUGUAAUCAUCUAUUAUAUCAAUUUAAUACUCAAUACAUUGUAUCAUAUCAAAUUCAUAUAUCAUGUACAUCAUUUGUAACAUUUCACUCUCAAUCAUAUAAACAGUAAAUCAUUCGAUAAACAGUAAGUCAUCCAUUUAAACAGUACUUCAUCCAUAUAAUAGUAAUUCAUCCAUAUAACACAUAAAUUUUUCACAUAACCAAUAAUAAAAUUUAUACCUGUUGAACCUAUUAGAAUAUCGAUAGAUACAUGGGUAAUACACACUACGUGUAUUAAUCGAUAAUCCAUCAAUUCAUCAUCAUAUUCACUCUUUCGAGCUAUGAUCGGUAAGCUCCUCCUGAGCUGAUGGACAGUAAGCUCUAUUGAGCUGAAAUAGUAAGCUCUGACGAGCUGAGAACAAUAAGCUCUUACGAGCUGAUAUAUUAGUAAGCUCAUACGAGCUGAGGUGAGUCCGCAACAUAUGCAGGAUCUCAACCUAAACAGUAACCCUAAUAACAUGUCACUCGUAUCUUACGAAUUCCUACGGUUCAAAUGGGGCUCGAUAACCAUCAGACUAUAUCCAUAAGGCAUUUGUAUUUCAAGUAAAUCAUUUAUUCAAUUACAUACAUUCAUUUCAAAUAAUUAUAAGUAUUUAAAAGUUCGAUUCUAAUUAUACGAAGUUACCUCGUAUCGCUCAAAUAACAAAUAUCUGCUAAUCGUCAACCUUUCCUUUUUCCCGAUUUAGAUUCAAUCCUUACUUAUCUUGAUCUAUUUAUUAUCAAAAUCAGCUUAUUUAAUCAACUAUUUAUUCAAUUUAGUCUAAAACACACAUUAGGACUAUUUUACACAUUUUCCCCUAAACUUUCACAUUUUUACAAUUUAAUCCUUAUCACAUGAAAUUGCAAAUUCAUGCAAUUUAGUACAAUUUCAUGCUAGCCGAAUAAACUACAUGUUACUAGCAGCCCAUAUCUUCAAUUUAUUCACACUUUUACCCACAUAAUUUUACAUUUUCAUAAAUUAAUCCUUUUUUGACAUUUUUGUCAAAAAUCACUUUACAAAACUAGUAAAUCUAUCAAUAAACCUUCAUAAUCUAUCACAAUUCAUCAAAUUACUCAAGCAUUCAACAAUGGUAACAUGAUAAAUCUUUAACAAUUUUGAAAUCUAGGGUACGGGCUAGCUAGAAUAUGAAGCAAUGAUUACAAAAAUAUAGAAAUCAUGAAAAACCGAGCAAAAAUGGCACCUAAAAUUUUAGCUUUUCUUCUUACCAAAUUCGGCUAAGGAAGAUGAUGAUAAUAUAAAAUGGAUUUUGUUUUCUUUAUUUUAACAUUUAUUAACUAUUUUACCAUUUUAACCUUAAAAUUAAUACAAAAUUUCAUUUAUGCCAAACUAAUAACAUCCACUAACCAACUAAUAGUGUAACACCCCAAACCCGGCCUAGACGUUAUGGUCAAAUCUGGUGACGUCACAUGGAAUGGAAUUUGAAAAUCGAAUUUAUCAAGUUAAAGCUGUUUCUGUUUAUUAGCUUUUAUUUGUCUCUCAUCAAUUUCAAAACUUAUUUCCUCGCUAAUUUGAUUCGAUUGAAAAAAAACAUAUCUCGUAGCGGAAGCUUUUAAACCGUGAUGUUUGAAGAAAACCAUUUGCAGUUAGGAAAAAUGUUGAUUUUAAUUAAACCAAGUUUUCGUUGCAGUUCAAAAUCUCAUGAAAACAAUUAAAAAUCCAGAAUAAAUGCAAACUGACCAAAAGUCCCAAAAGUCCAAUUUACAUAAAAAAAUAACCCAGAAAAUAAAUAAAAGAUAAAUACCAUAUCUGAAAUUAAAGUAGUUCAUUAAUCAUGUGGUCACCGUCAAGUCCUCCGCCGCACCGAUCCGUCUAUGUGUGGGGAUUACCUGUACAGUUAAGACAAUGGGUGAAUUUAUGUGAACUCAGUGUAUAAUCCCCAUAGAAAACAUACAUACAGUCAAUCAUAACAAACCGUCAAAUGCAGUCUGGGCCUAAGCCCAUUACAGUUCCAAUAGAAAUUUGGGCCUUAGCUCAAUUCAAUUUCAGUAUUCAGUAUCAGUUAGCACUAGGGCCUUAGCCCAUCAAAAUAUCAGUCAUGCAUACAGUAACCAGUAACAGAUUCCUACCCACCAGCCUCUAUACACCAUCUCCAUCCAUCCCCACACUCCAUAUGGGGUUCAAAAACUCGCACCCAUCCCUACACUCCAAUUAGUACCGAAUGCAGCACAUGAUUAGUAGAUUUGUAGCUAAGCUACCAGAUAUUAGGCUUAAGAGCCUUUCAGUACACUUCCUAUGGUCAUCCCAACCUAAUGCAAUACAGCAUACAAUAAAUGACAUGCUAUUACAUAAUUAACAGUUUAUAUACAGUUCAGUAUACAUGCAUAGAAGCAUCAUGUUCAGUACAUACAUCAUGCAUUCAAUUUACGCAUAUAGAGGUCCAAGCAAUGCUUACUAACCCCAUAGUAGGUUCACAGUCGACUUGGGAGACCCGUGCAACCUUAAGAAACUUUUUUGUUAAAUGGACCCACACACUCAUGUGGCCUGCCCGUGUGUGCCCACACACCCGUGUGGCCCACACGGCCUAAUUUGGUCUUGGUCGUAUAGAUCACACGGUCUGGCCUAAAAUUCCACACGCCUAUGUGAACUACCCGUGUGGCCCACACGACCCAAAUCAGUCUUAGCCCGUGUGUCACACACGGCCUACUUGGCUAUCACAUGGUCGUGUCCUACGCGCAUGGCCUGGCCCCGUUGAUCACACGCCCGUACCCCAUCACACAGCCUACCAUACAGGUAACCACACGCCCGUGUGGCGUCGAUAGUGAGGUUUUUAGCUUUCAUCGAAACCUCAUUUUCUACAUUUUCAGGUACACACCUAGUAUCGAUUGAUGCUAAAACGAUCCCUGAGCAUUCCAGAACCUAAAAACUAGCAUUCCAACACCCAAUUUCAGUAACAUUAUCAAAGAUCAAACAGGAUUGUAACGACACGUUCAUCUAUUAACUAUUGAUAAUCAUACCUUUAAUCGAAACGAGAAUCCCACCCACUUAACUCGUCGAUUCCAGACCUUCUGCCCCUCGAAUAUGUCCUAAACACCAAAAGAGACCCUUAGCAAAACGAUUCGUCAAACAAAUGAAAACUGAACCUACCAAAACUUAUAUCAGAUGUGAAUGGAGAGUGGAAAAAAGGCAGAUUUUCAGUAACCGAAAGGAGGAAAAUGAAAAAAAAAGGACAAUGAGAAAGGGGAGAUGAUCAGUUUUUCUGCAGAGAGAAUUUUGGGAAGCUAAUAACUCAAAUCCCGCUACCUACUCUAUCUCAACCACCUACUACUCAGAUUUUCAGUGCAACUCAAACUCCCAGCCAUCAAACCGAGCAAAAAUAUUCCCCUUUGCCCAUGCAGGGAUUCAAACACCAGGCCUCCAGCAUACUAAUACUCCACUUAACCACUAGACCAGCAGGCCCAUUUUGACAUGUACUUACAAAUACUUAAACUUAAGCCUACUAAGCGGGGUUUAGGCUUUAUUUAGAUGAAUACCAAAAUUUAGCUAAAGACUUAGCUUGAACUUAGGGCCUCUUACACACACCCAGACACUUAACCAUUGAAUCAGAUACACAUUUGUGUCAAAAUUUUACAAAAGUCAAAAAAAAGUUUUUGGGGCGUUAAAAAUGGUAUAUUUAUCAAUUAAAGACCUUUAAUUUAAUGUUCCAUAACUAUUCAACACUUUUAGUUAAUAGAACACAAGUUUUAUGCUUUACGCGAUUUAGUCCUUUUUACCAAAUUGAGCAAUUAAACGAUAAAUUUUUUUACGAAAAUUUUACACCAACAUGAUAUCAUACUGUAAAAUUUAUAAUAAUAAUAAAAUAAUUAUUUUGACUUCAAAUUUUUUGUUCCAAAACCACUAUUCUGAUUUGACUAAAAAUGGGCUGUUACAAAUAGUGUCUGGUCAUUUAUUAGGGUUGAACGUACAUAACAAAUAGCUUGGUCAAGGCUUAAUAUACAUGUAUUCUCGAGUCUGCAACACAUUUUGGAGCUCGAAACUUACUAGAAAUAACCUGUAACCUCGUAUAUGAGACUUUCACUAAUUUCAUUAAGGUUUAAUCUCACAUUAUACCAUUUCGCAACAAUCUAUUUCAACCUGAUUCAAUUCUCAAUUUAGGUACUAAAUCAUAGUCAAUUCAAUAUAUCAAUAAAACAUUAAUGAACAUAAAGAUGAAGCUCAAUAGUAAUUUAAACUAUAUGAACUUACCAAGGCUAAUAGCAAAAGUAGAAGUGCCAAGGACUAGUCUGUAAAUUUCCUUUUUCCCCGAUUGUCAAUCGUCUUGUUUAAAUCUUGAUCUAUAAUAUAUAUUUAUUUCAAUUUAAUCACUAAAAUAUCAUAAUACAUCCUAUUACAAAUAUAUGUAAGCUCAAUUUUAUCUUUCAGUUAUUUCUUCAAGUUUUACAUGUUAUUCAAUUUAGUCCCUAAAAUCAAACUUAUCAUAACUUCCAAAUUUGGACUCCAAAUCUUAAACCAACUUCAAUAUAUCCAAUAACGGUCCUAUUAUAAAAAAUUACAGAAAUUAGAUGUCAAUUUCAAGAUAUUAACAAUUUAGUCUUUAUGUUCAAAACUAACAAUUUCCACUUCACAAACUUGGUUUUUUUUUCAUUUCUAAGAUUCAAAUCUAACAACUUAACAUUAAAAUCUUCAAAUAUCAACAAUGGUAACAUUUUGAAACAAUAGCAGUUUUAAAAGCAAACAUACAAAUUAACUAAAUGAGUUGCAACAAUCCCGAAAACAUAAAAUUUACGAGAAAUGGAUGAAAAAUGACCUACCAUGCAUAAAGCUAAAGUUGGCCAAAUGUUGAAGCUUUAUCAAUGGCUUCUCAAGGUUUCAUUCUUUCCACAAUGAAGAAGAACAAAAAGGAAAUGGAUGAUGAAUUUUAAUUUUAACUUAUAUAGAUAGUUUAUUAAUUAAUUAAUCCUAAUUUACUUAAUUAAUCAUAAUUUAUUAACAAUGGAUGAUAGUUGUCUACCACUAUACUAAAAAGGGUCAAAUUCCUCAAUUGGUCUUUCAGUUAAUUAAAAUUUCAUAACGAUUAACUUUUACCAUUUUUACAGUUUAAUCAUUGUACCUCAAUUAGUCACUAAUUCAGUAAAAUUACCUAUCCAAAAUUCAAUUCACCUAUAUAAUCACUCUAUAAAUAUUUAAUAAAAACAUUUUCAAGCUCAGUUUAUGAAAACGAGGCCUCGAUACCUUAUUUUCCAAAACCACUUGACUUUAGGACUGAAAUAUUAUAUCAAAAUUAUCAUAUCAAAAUGCACUAUAUCAUUUUACUGGACUCGUAAAUAUUAAAUAAUAAUAUUUACGGACUCACUAGUUGAAAUUGUGAUCCUGAAACCACUGUUUUUGACACCACUGAAAAAUGGGUUGUUACAUUCUAAGUUUGAAUAAUUUAUCUUUAAAUUGUAAGAAUGCUAAUUAGGUGGAUGGUAUAGGAUGUUACACUUAGUUUCUUUUAUUUCAAAUUUUAGAACCCAUAACGUAAGUAGACAAAUCCUUUAGCUAACCCUACUUUUAGGCACUCAAAUGCUUUCACACAUGCAUUUUAAUUCACAUUUUGAAUUAGGCCUUAUACACAUUUUCAGUGUUCAAUUUUUUCUUUCUCCAUAUCAUAGUCAUUUCUAUAUUUUUAUCUUGUAUCGACUCUUGAUGACAUUACGCAAGACUUUACAUUUUAACAUAUUUUUUUGCCAUAAUUGCUUUAUCCAGUCUUUCCAUGAUGUCAACAUGGUUCAUACAUGUGCAUACAUACCUUAUCAAGUUUUAAUUUCUUCCAUGAAACCUUAGUAUCAUUUUCAUAUAAUUGACUAACAAGACAUCACAUAGCAACUCAUAAUUUCUCUUUCACAUUUUAAUUUUAUUUUAUAUAACAUUAUACCAUUGAAUUUCAUAUUAUCAUUAACAUAAUUAAACACUUAAUUAUAUCAUCAGUUUCAUAGUUUCCUAAGCUUACUAACUUAGAAGAAAUUAGAGUAUCCAAGGUAUUUACCUUAAUUGAUGCUCUACAAUACUUAAUCAAGUUCCAUGUAUUCCAAUUCAUCAAUAAAGCUUGAAAACCGAUGUCCUCAUUUCCAUACAACAAAAAUACAUUAAAAGAUUAAUAUAAAUUUUUUCAAAACUUUUCUCAUAACAUUUCACAACAAGUAUCAAGCUAGUAGAGAUGUAGGAAGUCAUUUCUUAUCUUAUUGAAGCUUUCUCACUCUAGCUUCAACUCUCUUACUAAAAAUCCAUAAACCCUAGGCUGUCAUUGAAGAAAUUGAUAGACGAAUUGAGCUUAGGAGAUUGUUUCCAUGGACAUUUUGACAAAAUCUCAAGGUUGAAGGUGAAGCUUUUGAGAGAAAAUGAAAAAAAAAAGUGAGGAAAAUGAAAAAGGAGAAGAAAGAGACCUAUGAAGGUUGCUG